Branchiostoma floridae (Florida lancelet) is the source of this 1232-nucleotide long non-coding RNA. RefSeq lists it as uncharacterized. The record is from RefSeq and is a predicted model, not a curated record. Lineage: Eukaryota; Metazoa; Chordata; Leptocardii; Amphioxiformes; Branchiostomatidae. The transcript has 3 exons.
CUCGGAAAAACCCGACCAUGAAUAGGCCAUACGUAAUGCUACAGUUCCGGGUAGUAUAUAAACGCCGUCACCGCACAUAUAUUCCCCACACUUACUCUUAGUGCUAAGGCUGACAACAGAAAGUCCUGCCAACUGUGUGAAAGCGAGUCGAAGCUGUUCCCCUUUGAACAGGUGCCAAGCAGAAAACAGACCAAGCAAAAUCGAAGAUGUCCGACCGCGAGGCCAAGGCUAAUUUGGACAACAAGUCCAACCAGGAUAAUCCCAACAACGAACUGUACCAGGGGCACGAGAAGGGCUACAGCGGAACUGGAACCAAGCCCGACCUGGACAACCACUCCAACCAGCUCAACCCCAACAACGAACGUUACCAGGAGCCCAAGAAGAAAUGAAGGGCUUCUGUAUAAUCUCCAAGCAGAUCUUACGGUAGCAUAAGAUAGUAUCAAAUGCUGGCAGAGGAGUGAAGCCGGCCUAGGAGUGUUACGCUCCGAUGUCCGUUUGACUCCCUUUGGCCGGCUAUACUCCUUGGCCAUCUUUGCUACUACUAGUAUCUUAUGGUACCGUAGGAUUUGCUUGGAAACUAGGUAGUUCGAGUCCUGGUAACGCCCCCUGCUGGCUUUACACCGGACUGCUGACGGAACUAAAUCUGAACUGGUGGACUGCUGAACUGUUUGAUUGCUGGGCUGCUGAACUAAAUCUGCACUAAAUAUAAACUACUGAACAGUUGAACUAAAUCUAAAGUAGCAUAGAUUGUUUUAGGCUAAAUUUCACGUCGCAAGAACAUUGUUUAAAGAGUCUACUGUUAGCUCCAGGAAAAAGUUAACACCAGCAAUGCAACAUACAUGUAGUUGCCAUUUGACUACAGAUGUGCCGUGCCCAUGUUUUGCUUCGGCUAUUGUCCUACAAAGUACUUGAGCGUGACGUGCUGUAUAUGUGUAACCACCUCGAUUUCACGACUUACUAGCAUUGCAUAGCUAUCGAUUACAAUCUCAACAGGGCAUGCGUUGCACACUACCAAGAGCAAAUUUCAAAGUGAGCAUAUCAACAAGAACUGACAAUGUAAUAAUAAAUUGUUUUUGUUCAGAAAUAUUUAAUGUGUGCUAAGAAUCUUACAUUUCCAAUCCAACUAAUAAGCGAAAGACAUUUGCGUGCCGAAAACUGUACGAGUUGUACUCUUCUUCAUGAUUUCCUUAUGGCGUUGAAUACAUGAAAACUUACUUGAGCAGGGAAAAACA